This 378-nucleotide unclassified non-coding RNA is filed under the name uncultured Gemmatimonadaceae bacterium. RNAcentral describes it as "contains 16S-23S intergenic spacer region". Lineage: Bacteria; Pseudomonadati; Gemmatimonadota; Gemmatimonadia; Gemmatimonadales; Gemmatimonadaceae. The record is from RNAcentral.
UCCGAGUUGACCCCGGCAGUCUCCUGCGAGUCCCGCCAUUACGCGCUGGCAACACAGGACAAGGGUUGCGCUCGUUGCGGGACUUAACCCAACAUCUCACGACACGAGCUGACGACAGCCAUGCAGCACCUGUGCAUGGAUCCCGAAGGAGGCUCCUCGUUUCUGAGGAGUUUCCCAUGCAUGUCAAGCCUAGGUAAGGUUCUGCGCGUUGCGUCGAAUUAAACCACAUGCUCCACCGCUUGUGCGGGCCCCCGUCAAUUCCUUUGAGUUUCAGCCUUGCGGCCGUACUCCCCAGGCGGGGCACUUCAUGCGUUAGCGCCGGUACCCCGGGGGUCGCUCCCCAAAGCACCUAGUGCCCAUCGUUUAGGCGUGGACUAC